AGUGAACGCUGGCGGCGUGCCUAAUACAUGCAAGUCGAACGGAGAUUGAGUAGCUUGCUAUUUAAUCUUAGUGGCGCACGUGUGAGUAAUAUAUAGCUAACUUGCCCAUUACUCAGGGACAACAGUUGGAAACGACUGCUAAUACCUUAUACUCCGUAUCUAUAUACGUAGAUACGGGAAAGUUUUUCGGUAAUGGAUAGGGCUAUAUCGUAUCAGCUAGUUGGUAAGGUAAUGGCUUACCAAGGCUAUGACGCGUAACUGGUCUGAGAGGAUGAUCAGUCACAUCGGAACGGAGACAUGGUCCCGAACACAACGCGAAGAAGCAGUAGGGAAAACUGGUAACAGGGCCAAACCACUAAGGAGCUACGGCGCGUAGAAGAUGACAGUUUUCGCAGUGUUACCCCCUUUUCAUCGGACAGAAUUAUGACGGCACCCAAGGAGUAAGCACCGGCCAACGGCGUG
This 462-nucleotide ribosomal RNA is filed under the name uncultured bacterium. RNAcentral describes it as "partial 16S ribosomal RNA". It matches the Rfam family "Bacterial small subunit ribosomal RNA", at positions 29 to 507 of the family's 1533-position model. The record is from RNAcentral.